UGGCUCAGUGGAUAGAGCAUUGGCCUGCGGACUCAAGGGUCCCGGGUUUGAUUCCCGG
Molecule: transfer RNA, 58 nt
Filed under: Myotis davidii
Lineage: Eukaryota; Metazoa; Chordata; Mammalia; Chiroptera; Vespertilionidae
Rfam family: tRNA
About the family: Transfer RNA (tRNA) molecules are approximately 80 nucleotides in length. Their secondary structure includes four short double-helical elements and three loops (D, anti-codon, and T loops). Further hydrogen bonds mediate the characteristic L-shaped molecular structure. tRNAs have two regions of fundamental functional importance: the anti-codon, which is responsible for specific mRNA codon recognition, and the 3' end, to which the tRNAs corresponding amino acid is attached (by aminoacyl-tRNA synthetases). tRNAs cope with the degeneracy of the genetic code in two manners: having more than one tRNA (with a specific anti-codon) for a particular amino acid; and 'wobble' base-pairing, i.e. permitting non-standard base-pairing at the 3rd anti-codon position.
Source: Rfam by way of RNAcentral